CCCAGCCGCCAGGGCUCCGAGGGAGCAAUCAGACAAUAAGGCGAAUGUCAUGCCCUUUCCCACCCUGGAGCCCAGCUCUGGGGCCUCAUCAAGUCGAGCAGUGCGGCAGCUGGGACUGGGCUGGAUUCGGAGGUUUGGGGCUCCUUGGUCGUUAGCACGUAGACAGUGGCUGAAUCAUGGAAUACAUGACGACAUCCUGCAGAGUGAGGCCCAGAAGGGAAGAGGGGGGGAGAAGAGGCCCAGAACAGCACCUGGAGGGGGGUGGAGAGUCAGAAGAAAGUUCUUCCCUCUCUCCCAGAACCCCCUCACUGUCUUCAAUGACCAGGCCGAGAUGGGAAGAUCCUUAAAGGUUGGACUCGAUCGGGACGCCUGGGUGGCUCAGUCGGUUAAGCAUCCAACUUCAGCUCAGGUCACAAUCUCAUGGUCUGUGAGUUUGAGCCCCGCAUCGGGCUCUAUGCUGACAGCUCAGAGCCUAGAGCCUGCUUCAGAUUCUGUCUCCCUCUCUCUCCUCCCUCCCUUGUUCAUGCUCCAUCUCCCUCUCUCUCAAAAAAAAUAAAUAAACAUUAAAAAAAAAAAAAAGUAAGACUAUCCUUCCAGCCCCAACUCCUCUUCCACCGGGUAGAGCUCACUGAUAAAGAAUACAGGUAGGUUUUGGAUUAGGUCUAUCUGGGUGCAAAUUUUGAUCUUACCACUUAGGCAAGUCAUUAAACCUCUCCAAGCUUAGUUUUUUCAUCUGUAAAAUGGAUAUUCAUUCAUUAAUUCACUCAUUCAACCAAUAUUCGCCGAGGGCCUGCUACAUCUCAGGCAAUCACGCAGAUACAGCAUCUAACACAAAAGACACAAAUCCCUGCCCUGUGGGCCUUGCUUUUUAGUGGGGAACCUUAGUGCCUGUCUCAAAGAGUGAUUGGGAGGACUCGAUGAGCUAAUUAGGAUCAAGCUUCGCACAGGGCCUGAUAUGAUAGGCCUGACAGGUUAGAGCUGUUGUGAACAUCCAUUCAGGGCCACUUAUCAAGAGCUUACUGUGUGCCAGCUCCAUGCUAGGUGCUGAGGAGACAAAGAUGUGGAACAGCCAUCCACACCCUCGGGGAACUCAGUUUAAUGCCCCUAAUGUGUGUUGAAUGGGCACUACCCUCGUCAUUGUUCAGAAGCUUAUAACAAGCACCAGUCUGUAGUGCGUGCUACCAAGAGCCAUAAAAUUCUAGUCAGGUGUGACACGACAGGUGUUUAUCCCUGGUACCCUACGGACUAAGUCACACAUGAUUGAUGUGCUUUCAGGAGGUUCAGAACAAGGAGCAGUUAUAUUUGGUUGGGGGACAGAAAAGAUCUGGAGGAGGUGGCUUUUGAACAGCAUCUGAAAGAAAAGAGUAGGAUUCCACAGACAGAGAGUGGUGGCAGAGAUAGGAAGGGAGGCCCCUCACGGGACCAGAAGGGCACAAAAAUAAGUGCUUGGAGGAAGGAAAACAGGAGGUGCCAAUUGCGUGCCUAAUCCCAAGAUGACCUAGCCCAGGGUGAGGGUGGAGGUUGGUCUAGGCAAGGCAGCUGAAUUCACAAGCACAGGAGACAACUCUCCAAGAGGUGGGUUGGAGAGACCCCUUUCCUAGCCCUCAACCCUCGAGCAAGACUACACCAGGCUCAGAAUGCCACCAUUAGAAGUUCAUUUCCUUGAGCAAGCGUCAGCUUCCAGGAGGUCCCUCACAGAAACAAACCACGAAAGUGAAACUCCCUGAGUGGUGCGACACGUUGUAGACACUUCGCACGCACCACGUCCCUUCCCUUUCUCCUAAGCGGAAAGCUCCGUUUCAUGAGCCAGGAACCUUGUAAAUAUUUCAGUGGCGUCUGUGUGGUUGAGGCUGUGAAGGCUGUUCUCUGCAGCACUCGUGACAGUAAGGUCUGGGAGAUGUCUCAGGCCCGUUACAAGUGUUUGAUCAGCCUCAUGUUA
Molecule: long non-coding RNA, 1939 nt
Organism: Neofelis nebulosa (Clouded leopard)
Lineage: Eukaryota; Metazoa; Chordata; Mammalia; Carnivora; Felidae
Exons: 3
Source: RefSeq, a predicted model, not a curated record